AGAAUAUUCCGCAAUGCACGAAAGUGUGACGGAGCGACGCCGCGUGGACGAUGAAGGCCGGAAGGUUGUAAAGUCCUUUUUAAUAUGAGGAAUAAGCAGUGUGAGAGAAACGCACUGUGGUGACUGUAGUAUUAGAAUAAGGGGCGGCUAAUUACGUGCCAGCAGCCGCGGUAACACGUAAGCCCCGAGCGUUGUUCGGAAUUAUUGGGCGUAAAGGGCAUGUAGGCGGUUUUGCAAGUCUGGUGUGAAAGGCAGGAGCUCAACUCCUGGACUGCGCUGGAAACUGCAUGACUUGAGUUUCUGAGGGGCACUCGGAAUUCCUGGUGUAGGGGUGAAAUCUGUAGAUAUCAGGAAGAACACCGGUGGCGAAGGCGGGGUGCCAGCAGAAGACUGACGCUGAGGUGCGAAGGUGCGGGGAGCAAACA
RNAcentral lists this ribosomal RNA (425 nucleotides) under uncultured Treponema sp. RNAcentral's name for it is "bacterial SSU rRNA". It matches the Rfam family "Bacterial small subunit ribosomal RNA", at positions 358 to 774 of the family's 1533-position model. The record is from RNAcentral. Lineage: Bacteria; Pseudomonadati; Spirochaetota; Spirochaetia; Treponematales; Treponemataceae.